UACGUAGGGGGCAAGCGUUGUCCGGAUUUAUUGGGCGUAAAGAGCGUGUAGGCGGCCUGACAGGUCUGCUGUGAAAACUCGAGGCUCAACCUCGAGAUGUCGGCGGAAACCGUCUGGCUAGAGUCCGGAAGAGGAGAGUGGAAUUCCUGGUGUAGCGGUGAAAUACGUAGAGAUUGGGAAGAACACCAGUGGCGAAGGCGGCUAUCUGGACGGUUUCUGACGCUAAGACGCGAAAGCGUGGGGAGCAAACAGG
RNAcentral lists this ribosomal RNA (253 nucleotides) under uncultured bacterium. Its description in RNAcentral is "partial 16S ribosomal RNA". It matches the Rfam family "Bacterial small subunit ribosomal RNA", at positions 524 to 776 of the family's 1533-position model. The record is from RNAcentral.